AGGUGCUUCCAUUUACUUUGUUAACUUGUCUAAGGCCUCUAUUCAGCUAUUUGGCUCCACGAAACACUCGAUGCAUGAUAGAAAAACUACGAGUUUGUCUACCUGCUUUGCAAUUUGCCUCCUGCAUUUGAUAGAAAAACUGUAAGUUGUUUUAGUUUUCUCAGUAACAAGAAAACGCAAGUGGUCUGUACAACCGGUUUAUACAUUUAGUGAAUUAGACAAGCUUUCAUGCACAUUCUUCUCUUUUUCUAUUUCUUAUGCAGUAGCAAAGACAUUUUGUUAACCAACAAUAAUUAACAGUGGCAAGAACUGCUCUCAGAAACAAAUGUCGCCAAAUUUCACAAAUUGUUGUUCAGCUCCCAUUAUCAAUUCAAACCCGUAAAGAUCAUUCCCUAGAGUUCAGUAAGACUAGUCGAGGUAAAUUCUCCAAGAAUUGUUUACUCUGAGAUCUGAAAAAAGCAUAAGGCCCUAUGCUAUGCGGGAGCUUUAUAAAUCCAUGGUUUUAAAGCAUUAUGUUGCCCUGAUUGUUUAGCUGCCAUUUUCAACAAACAAAGAUUAAACUCAAAGAAGAGAAAAAAAUAAUGAAAAUAUUUUAGGUGAUUUUACCGAAUAAUAAACUCAAUAUCACUAUUUGUAUGAUAUAACAGCCUAAAAUAGCAAGUGAUGGUUGACGAUUAUGAAGCAUGGACGUGGCUAAAGGACUACUAAAAGCCUUCAUGGUAAAUCUUCAAAAUAUAGAGUAUUGCAUGGCUGGAAUAUGGGAAUAAAAGAAUGAGCACAUGCAUGCAUGCAUGGACGGCAAACCAUUAAAGAAGGAAAUAUUGUAUGCCUGCUGCCCACCCCCUUGCCCAAGUUCAACAUUCAUCAAAAAAAAUAAGCAACCCUCCCCGAAGGACCAGGAUAUAUCUAGAUAGGGUUUUAAAAGAAAUAAUGAUGAAAAAAAUAAGAUACUUAAAAAUAAACACUGACAAAUAUCCUAGGUAUAUCUAACAAGUUUCGGUAGCUGAUAUGUAUCAGAUCAUGCACAUUGAAAUAUCUGUACUACCUAGGUUGGCAAAAGGCCUGGGAUCAUAUCUUUUUAGGUCUAUUCUGAAUGUACAAUUCAAUUUCGGUAGUCAUUUUUCAUUUCAGUUGGAAAAUACAGUCGGAUAUUUGGAGUACUAUAAGUGAUCAAGGGAUAGUAACUCAUAUCACAGGAGGAAAUUUUGCACAGAUUUCCAUUACUAUUAACGGGUGGCUCCGAGCUACAAAGUUCAGAAGCAACAAGAUAAGGAUUCUAACUGGAUAAAUACAUAUUCAUGUUUACCUCCUCACACGCUUUGCAUCAGCAGGGUCUAUAUUUUCUGUUGUUUCCACUUCUCCUUCAAGUUCCUCAUCAUCCGACUGCUCUCCUGAUGAUCCACUGGUAGUUGGGCUCCCUUGGACGCCUAAGUUCUACAUGAAGGUAGGAGCUGGACCUCCACUUGAUCCACUACCUGCUUUUUGUUGCACCUUGGAGCCGUUUCCUGUCAUGCAUGGGUAGAUGCAAGAAGGAAAAAAGAAAGAAAGAAAGAAAAAGAAAUAUCUCAUGUUUAAAAAACCAAUCCACGCACCACAAUGUGCUCAUAAAAAGUAGCAAUCCACCAAUAACAUUU
This 1634-nucleotide long non-coding RNA is filed under the name Phoenix dactylifera (date palm). RNAcentral's name for it is "long non-coding RNA (PDAC_LNC013443)". Lineage: Eukaryota; Viridiplantae; Streptophyta; Magnoliopsida; Arecales; Arecaceae. The record is from RNAcentral.